GGGGAUUUGGCUCAAUGGUAGAGCACUUGCCUAGGAAGCGCAAGGUCCUGGGUUCGGUCCCCAGCCCCG
Molecule: transfer RNA, 69 nt
Filed under: Rattus norvegicus (Norway rat)
Lineage: Eukaryota; Metazoa; Chordata; Mammalia; Rodentia; Muridae
Rfam family: tRNA
About the family: Transfer RNA (tRNA) molecules are approximately 80 nucleotides in length. Their secondary structure includes four short double-helical elements and three loops (D, anti-codon, and T loops). Further hydrogen bonds mediate the characteristic L-shaped molecular structure. tRNAs have two regions of fundamental functional importance: the anti-codon, which is responsible for specific mRNA codon recognition, and the 3' end, to which the tRNAs corresponding amino acid is attached (by aminoacyl-tRNA synthetases). tRNAs cope with the degeneracy of the genetic code in two manners: having more than one tRNA (with a specific anti-codon) for a particular amino acid; and 'wobble' base-pairing, i.e. permitting non-standard base-pairing at the 3rd anti-codon position.
Source: Rfam by way of RNAcentral